RNAcentral lists this ribosomal RNA (253 nucleotides) under uncultured prokaryote. RNAcentral's name for it is "partial 16S ribosomal RNA". It matches the Rfam family "Bacterial small subunit ribosomal RNA", at positions 525 to 777 of the family's 1533-position model. The record is from RNAcentral.
ACAGAGGGUGCGAGCGUUAAUCGGAAUUACUGGGCGUAAAGGGCGCGUAGGCGGUAAGAUGAGUAUGAUGUGAAAGCCCCCGGCUCAACUGGGGAGGGUCACGCGAUACUGAUCGACUCGGAGGCAGGAGAGGGUAGUGGAAUUCCCGGUGUAGUGGUGAAAUGCGUAGAUAUCGGGAGGAACACCAGUGGCGAAGGCGACUACCUGGCCUGUUCUUGACGCUGAGGCGCGAAAGCUAGGGGAGCAAACGGGA